CGAGGCAAUUUCCCCAUCAGUCUCUUACAAUAUUAGGCCAAUUUUGCAUAUUUGGAACUUUAUGUUGUGCAAACCAAUCGGCGCCCAAGCUCACAUGACCAUAGGUUAUGGGAAAAACAUCACACCACACCUCCUCAUGGUAAUUAAAUUGAGAGAAGACAACUUUUACCCUCUCGGUAACCUUAAACCUGUCCAAGAAGUAUGGAACAAGUAAAGGCUCGCAAAAUAACCCCAAGUAAUCAACCAUGG
Molecule: long non-coding RNA, 249 nt
Filed under: Capsicum annuum
Lineage: Eukaryota; Viridiplantae; Streptophyta; Magnoliopsida; Solanales; Solanaceae
Description: long non-coding RNA (CANN_LNC000259)
Source: RNAcentral